Sorex araneus (European shrew) is the source of this 4419-nucleotide RNA transcript. It is a transcript of the gene named zinc finger CCCH-type containing 8, with no coding region annotated. The record is from RefSeq and is a predicted model, not a curated record. The transcript has 10 exons. Lineage: Eukaryota; Metazoa; Chordata; Mammalia; Eulipotyphla; Soricidae.
GGCAGCACGCGGCCCUGUGCGCCGCGCGGACGCCGGGUUCGGGCGGCUGGCGUGAUUUGUAGUGGCCCGGCUCUCGCGCUCGGGACAGCCAUGGAUUUUGAGAAUCUUUUCUCCAAACCCCCCAACCCAGCCCUUGGCAAAAGGCCGGCCACGGACUCUGACGAAAGAAACCAUGAUGAAGUAGAUGAUACAGAAGUUGAAGAAACACAAGAAGAGACAGUAAAAUGGGAUGUAAAACUGGAAUGUGAGAAAAUUCCAAAAAAACCUCGACGUUCCAGAAAUUCCACAGCACCACAAAAGAAUUCUCCCCGUCGAAAAUCAAGGAGUAAAGACUAUGAUCCAGAGAGUGACAAUGAAAUACUCAAUCAAGACUCAGAAGAUCAUUUUGCUAAAGCACUUCAGCAGUAUAUCCAAGCUAAAGAAAUGGCCAGUGCUGCUCAGGCAUCACUCGCUCCUGAAGACUCCAUGAAAAAAGACGAAGGGAAGGAACCCCGGAAUGCAGUACAACAAAAGAAUCAAAACCACCUUAAAGCUGUUCAAAAGAACGGGAAGCAGAAGAAAGUGAAGCGGAAACGGCGUAGUGCAGGGGACAAAGGAUCUAAUGCUUUACCAAGGAAGCAAGGCUCUCAGGACCAGGAUGGCAAACCUAAGGAGAAUCCGCAGCGAGUGAGAAUGAGCCAGGGAUUUAUCAACCAACAUACAGUGGAACGUGACGGAAAACAAAUUUGUAAAUAUUUCCUUGAAAGAAAAUGUAUUAAGGGAGACCAGUGUAAAUUUGAUCAUGAUGCAGAGAUAGAGAAGAAAAAGGAAAUGUGUAAAUUUUAUGUACAAGGAUAUUGUACCAGAGGUGAAAACUGUCUAUUUUUGCAUAAUGAAUAUCCUUGCAAGUUUUACCAUACAGGAGCAAAAUGUUACCAGGGAGAGUAUUGCAAGUUUUCUCAUGCUCCACUGACUGCUGAAACACAAGAACUGUUGGCUAAAGUUUUAGAUUCGGAUAAGAAGUCAUCAUGAAAAUAAAAUAAGAUGAGUGUUUCUGCGUAUUCAGGAGGCUGGUGUUGGAGUGGCUCACAGAAUUCCUUAUUCUAACACGCCCCCUUGUGUCACUGUGAUGAUGUGUCGAGAGUCGCCUGGAUAAGAGUAAAGGGAAUUUCUCCCUCCAGGUGCUGCCACCUUUGGAACAAGAGCUGCUGGCUGCUGACUUCAGCUUGUGGUGGUAAUUGCGGACAGCUCUGCUGACUGAGUUUGCCCAGUGAGAUCGGAGCUCUGGCCCGACUGACAUUUUGUGGCUGUGCCGAAGGUUUUAUUGGAAAUCUUCCUGCAAGAAUAGGACUUGCAUACUUCACCAGAGUUUCCCGCUUAGGAACCAUUUUGAGUCACUUUCUCCUGAUGCUCCCCCUUCUGAUAAGUCCCGUUGUCGGGUUGGGAAGAGAGCUAAAGUGGUAUUGCACGUGCCUAGCUAGCAUGUGCGAGUCGUGAAUUUGAUCCCCGGCACUGUGCACCCUCCCCCAGCACUGCUGAGUGUAACUUGGGCAGCCCCCGGUUAUUUCUGAGGGCCCAGUUCUGGAUAUCAGACCUCUGCUGCUCAGCAGAGCAUGAAAAAAAAAAAAGUGCCGCCAUGUGAUGUAUGUGGAGAUCUUAUCUCCUACCUUGUCAAAGCAGGAACCAAUUGUUUGAAAAGAACAUCCCCACAAGAAUGUGAACAAUGGAGAACCGAAAGGGCACAGGUUAUCUAAUAAAACCCACAAACCGGAAGCAAGAUUUCACGAGAGCCCGGAAACCAGGAAUAGCCAAUUUUUACACAUGGCUCCAUCUACUCAACUGUACAACUUCACUCCCUGAGGACUCGCUGGUCCAUGUCCCUCCAAGUCUGAAGUCCUCUCUUCUUUCCUGCUUUUCUGGAAAAGUUCUUUUUGUUUGUUUGUUUGGCAGCCUCACCAGGUAAUGCUCAGAGUUCACUCCUGGCUCUGUGCUCAGGGAUCAUCCUGGCAGUGCUCGGGUGUAUAAUGGAUGCUGGAGAUCAAACCUGUGUUGGGUGCAUGCUUGCUGUGCUCUCUCCAACCCCAAUACCUUUCUCCUUUUUAUAGAGGCCACAGUCUUUUGUGCUUGGUGGAGCUGGAAGUUUUCCUCCCAGAGACAAUUGGCCUGGAGACAGCACCUGAUGGUCCAUUGCUCAGGUCCAGUUUGUGGUGUUUGGGAGCCACCAUAGCCACCUGGGGAAUGUCCUUCACCGCUUGAGCUAUCUUCCUGGCCCCAUGCUUUUUUUGUGUUAAAUGCAAGCUUCAUGGACUCAGAUCUGUCAGCCUGGCCAUCCACCGUACCCUCAGUAACUAGAACAGUGCCAGGUGGGCAAUCAGGAAGAUCCAUGCCGCUUAUAAACAUAUCGUUCUACCUAUGUCCAAAGUGACAGUCAAGAACUGUCACUCUCCAUCUCUUGAGUGUGAGCUUGGUGAAAGUGAAGGCAGUGGUCAGUGGAAAGUGACCCAGGCAAGUCUGACUUCAUGGCAUUGGGAACAUGCUCACCUUUUCCGUACGCCAAGUUGACUGUAACCAUGCAGUGAUACAUUUUUAUUUUAUUUUCCUUUUUCUUUGUUAAUGUUGGAAGUGUUGUAUUUUAAAUGUAAGGUGAUUUCAGAGUGAUUCAACAUCCAUGUUAACUGUCCUUUUCUCAGCAGCCAAAGAUUGAACCGGCUAGCCUCUCACCUUGGCCUGCUGGUUGUCGAUGGCUGCUCAGAAGUCCAGAUGGGCUGUGGGCUUGCUGGGCGACAGCCCUCCAUUCUGGACUCUGCCCACCCAGAGGGCAUUGGGUGGUUGCACAGGUGUGAGGACCAUGGAGUUUUGGGGGUCUUCUUCAAUAGCAGGAGCUCUCUUACGCUCAUGUGGCUGGUGAAGUGGCAUAACCCUUAUAAAAGAAAAACUGACCCCAGAGAUACAGAGGCAGGAAGCUGUGUGAUAUAACUGCUGUAAUAUUUUUGAUAGCAAGGGACUGGAAAGGAACACAAAUGUCAACCAAGAGUGACUGGUUGACUAAACAAUGGUAUAUGUUCAGAAUGGGCUGGAGCGAUAGCACAGCGGGUAGGGCGUUUGCCUUGCACGCGGCCAACCCAGGUUUGAUUCCUCCGUCUCUCUCAGAGAGCCGGGCAAGCUACCGAGAGUAUCCCGCCCACAUGGCAGAGCAUGGCAAGUCCCGUGGUGUAUUCAAUAUGCCAGAACAGUAACACGUCUCACAGUGUAAAUGUUACUGGUGCCUGCUUGGGCAAAUCGAUGAGCAAUGGGAUGACAGUGAUAUGUUCAGAAUGGAGACUGAGAAUAUAUACCUUUGACUAGCCCGUAUGGUUCUAUGGCUGAUUCCUCGCAUCCAAGCAGUAUUAUGUUGAGGAAGAGGAAACAAAGCAAAAUCAGACAAGGAUGAAAUAGUAUUUACAUUUCAUUUCUCAUAAACGAAAUGGUCAUUUGUCUUUCUUUUGUUUUUUAAUGGAAAAGUAAAAUAGAAAAAAAUAUCUGCAGCCAAAGGAGAAAAUGGGUGAAGAGAAAUGGAUUAUAGCAGUUCUCUGGAUACAGCUUAUUUUGUGCACUUGACUUUGGAAUAAUGUAAAUAAUUUAUAUAAUUAUAACACAAAAUUCAAAUUUAAAAACUGCUAGAAUUUACAAGCAAUUUAAAAUGAAUAAUCAGAACCCUGAUUUAAGUUUGGGGCACAAUCACAGAGAUAAGAAUUAGUUCAAGUUAUUUUAAAAUAGUCAUUUGAGGACUGGGGACAUAGCUCAGUGGUAGAAUACUUACAUUGCAUUUUGAGGCUCUGGGCUCAGUCCCUGACAAACCAGAACAAACAAGCACACACACACAAUUAAUGUGAUUAUACAGCCAUACAGCUGGGACCCUUAGGACAAAAGGGAUUGCAAAAGAGAAAAUUUCAUUAUUUUCAGUAAUCACUUUUUAUGAUAAAUUUGACCUCGUUCUUCUGAGGAAAAGAAUAAAAAUAAUGUAUAGAUGUUAUUUAAAAAUAUCAGACAACUAUCUUGGUGACUUUGAAAGGGAGGUUCUCAGAAUGAAAGAUCAGAUGUGUGAUCACAGGAAUUAUGUAAACCCCUCUGGUUUUGAGUUGAAUGGGAAAUGUUCAUAUAAAUUCAUAUAGUGUUAUUUUUCUGGUUAAAAAACCACCAUUUUUUAAAGUACGUAGUUCUUACAUCUAUUCACUGAAACAAAGAAACUGAUGACCAAACCAUUGCCAGUGAGCAUUCUAGCCCCCAGAGCUCUGUCUUGCAUUCUCAUUCCCUACUCACAGGAACCAGGGUCUCUGAGGGAAAAGCUUUAGGGACUAAGACAUUAAAAAAAAAAAAAAAGGAUGGUGAUGAAAUAUCAUGCCAUUCAAGGUACUACAAAAGCUAUCAGAGACCACUAAUGUCAUGUCAAAGGGAAAUUGG